UUACCUUUUAUGUUAGUAUUAGCAACAAUAUCCUCUCUGUUGUUAUUAGGUUAAUUUUUCGUUGCCAAAUAUUAUAUUUUUAAUGCCAUUAGCAACAAAAAUUUGUUGCUAAAUGUAUAAAAAAUUAUUGCUAUAUUAAAACUUGUUCAAUACUUUGAUUACAAAUUAUAUAGUUGCCAAAUCAAAAUUUGACAUUCUUUUUGUGUACCUGGCUGGCUCAAUGUCCCCAUAGCAAAUAAUGACAAAAAUACAAAAAACUAAAAUAUUAUUAACUUAAUAAAAUCAUCCACUACAUAAUCAUUCAUUAUCUUUACAAUUAACCAUCUAAAGCUACCACAGUUCUUCAAUCAAAGUAUAUAUCUACAAAUAUAGAGAGUAAACUUCAUAAUUUCGUCCCUUGUCUUCCGUAAACGUAGCGCGAAAAUUUGAUACCCAAUAUUGUAAGGCAUGUCGUAGAAGCAGUGCACAUAAUUAAAAAUAAUAGUAAAGUCAAAAAAAUGAAACAAAUAGGUCACCAGAGACACUUAGUGCCAAAAUCAAUACACAAAAGACAAUAGAGUUGUUGCGUGGUACUAAUGUACACCGUAUUGCUCAUAAGUAAAAAAAGACAAUAGAGUUGCUACGUGUACUAAUGUACACUGUAAAUUAGGAUACUUGUGUAUAUAAGCCAAUGUAAUUGAGAAGAAUGAUACAUUCCCCGCCUAUCAAAUCUGCAUAAAUAAUGACCUAUGGAGGAAGUUGGACACAACAACCACAAUAGAAAUUAGGUUGAUCAUACCUGCUCAGUAGGAAUGUUGAAAAUUUUGCCACCAAUAGUGAAGGCAACGCUAGGCAUGGAAGAAAUCUUGGCGCAGUCAACACCUGAUUGUCUCAUUGGGCUAGACCAUCACAAAGCU
Molecule: long non-coding RNA, 896 nt
Filed under: Panax ginseng (ginseng)
Lineage: Eukaryota; Viridiplantae; Streptophyta; Magnoliopsida; Apiales; Araliaceae
Description: long non-coding RNA (PGIN_LNC005081)
Source: RNAcentral